This 66-nucleotide transfer RNA is filed under the name Podarcis lilfordi (Lilford's wall lizard). RNAcentral describes it as "tRNA.Lys". Lineage: Eukaryota; Metazoa; Chordata; Lepidosauria; Squamata; Lacertidae. The record is from RNAcentral.
GCACUCAGCUGAUAGAGCAUGAGACUCUUAAUCUCAGGGUCAUGGGUUCGAGUCCUACGUUGGGCA